RNAcentral lists this ribosomal RNA (402 nucleotides) under uncultured bacterium. Its description in RNAcentral is "bacterial SSU rRNA". It matches the Rfam family "Bacterial small subunit ribosomal RNA", at positions 355 to 774 of the family's 1533-position model. The record is from RNAcentral.
UGGGGAAUCUUGCACAAUGGGGGCAACCCUGAUGCAGCGACGCCGCGUGAGCGAUGAAGCCCUUCGGGGCGUAAAGCUCUUUCGACCGGAACGAUAAUGACGGUACCGGGAGAAGAAGCUGCGGCUAACUACGUGCCAGCAGCCGCGGUAAUACGAAGGGAGCUAGCGUUGUUCGGAAUCACUGGGCGUAAAGCGCACGUAGGCGGACUUUCAAGUCAGGGGUGAAAUCCAGGGGCUCAACCUCGGAACUGCCUUUGAUACUGUUGGUCUCGAGUCCGGAAGAGGUGAUUGGAAUUCCUAGUGUAGAGGUGAAAUUCGUAGAUAUUAGGAAGAACACCGGUGGCGAAGGCGGCUCACUGGUCCGGUACUGACGCUGAGGUGCGAAAGCGUAGGGAGCAAACA